RNAcentral lists this ribosomal RNA (565 nucleotides) under uncultured Glomeromycotina. RNAcentral describes it as "SSU rRNA". It matches the Rfam family "Eukaryotic small subunit ribosomal RNA", at positions 548 to 1114 of the family's 1831-position model. Lineage: Eukaryota; Fungi; Glomeromycota. The record is from RNAcentral.
UUGGAGGGCAAGUCUGGUGCCAGCAGCCGCGGUAAUUCCAGCUCCAAUAGCGUAUAUUAAAGUUGUUGCAGUUAAAAAGCUCGUAGUUGAAUUUCGGGGUUAGUAGGUUGGUCAUGCCACUGGUAUGUACUGGUCUCACUGAUUCCUCCUUCCUGAUGAGCCGUAAUGCCAUUAAUUUGGUGUUGCGAGGAAUCUGGACUGUUACUUUGAAAAAAUUAGAGUGUUUAAAGCAGGCUUACGCUUGAAUACAUUAGCAUGGAAUAAUGAAAUAGGACGUUUGAUUCUAUUUUGUUGGUUUCUAGGAUUGACGUAAUGAUUAAUAGGGAUAGUUGGGGGCAUUAGUAUUCAAUUGUCAGAGGUGAAAUUCUUGGAUUUAUUGAAGACUAACUACUGCGAAAGCAUUUGCCAAGGAUGUUUUCAUUAAUCAAGAACGAAAGUUAGGGGAUCGAAGACGAUCAGAUACCGUCGUAGUCUUAACCAUAAACUAUGCCGACUAGGGAUCGGAUGAUGUUAAUUUUUUAAUGACUCAUUCGGCGCCUUACGGGAAACCAAAGUGUUUGGGUUC